CGUGCAGGUGGUUCGGUAAGUUAGGCGUGAAAUCUCCCGGCUCAACUGGGAGAGGUCGUCUAAUACUACCGAACUUGAGAGCAGAAGAGGAAGAUGGAAUUCCCGGUGUAGUGGUGAAAUGCGUAGAUAUCGGGAGGAACACCAGUGGCGAAGGCGAUCUUCUGGUCUGUUUCUGACACUCAGACGCGACAGCUAAGGGUAGUAAACG
RNAcentral lists this ribosomal RNA (208 nucleotides) under uncultured bacterium. RNAcentral's name for it is "partial 16S ribosomal RNA". It matches the Rfam family "Bacterial small subunit ribosomal RNA", at positions 568 to 774 of the family's 1533-position model. The record is from RNAcentral.